RNAcentral lists this non-coding RNA (30 nucleotides) under Mus musculus (house mouse). Lineage: Eukaryota; Metazoa; Chordata; Mammalia; Rodentia; Muridae. The record is from RNAcentral.
AUGUCACCAACCUAAGACAGGGAUCAAACC